RNAcentral lists this unclassified non-coding RNA (240 nucleotides) under soil metagenome. RNAcentral's name for it is "partial contains 5.8S ribosomal RNA, internal transcribed spacer 2, and large subunit ribosomal RNA". The record is from RNAcentral.
AACCAUAGAAACCUGCGGAGUACCUGCGGAAGGAUCAUUACGAGAGUGUCACCACUCCCAACCCAUUGUUUACCUACCCGUCCACCGUGCUUCGGCAGGCAGCCCUGUGGGACAGAGCCUCGCCCCCUUUCGCGGGGGGUGCCUGCCGCUUGCCAACCAAAACUCUAGCUGUUUUAGUACCAUCUGAGUCUUCCACAAAUGAACAAAACUUUCAGCAACGGAUCUCAGAUCGGAAGAGCA